This 763-nucleotide ribosomal RNA is filed under the name Piceomphale pinicola. RNAcentral describes it as "SSU rRNA". The stretch from base 101 to 763 matches the Rfam family "Bacterial small subunit ribosomal RNA", at positions 1 to 1172 of the family's 1533-position model. Lineage: Eukaryota; Fungi; Ascomycota; Leotiomycetes; Helotiales. The record is from RNAcentral.
UGUAUAGCUUAGGCUAACUAUAUUUGGUUUAAUUAAUGUUUAUAUUUAUAUUAACAUAUUAAUUUAUUUGUAAAAAAAAACAAAUAUAGUAUCGAUUUUGUCGAAUAAAGUUCUAGAUAGAAUACUGAUUAUGACAAUUUUCUAUCUAUAUGUCUUGACCAAAUUACGUGCCAGCAGUCGCGGUAAUACGUAGAAGACUAGUGUUAUUCAUCUCUAAUAGGUUUAAAGGGUACCUAGACGGUAAAAUUAGUCUAAAAUAUGAUACGGUUUUACUAGAGUUAUAUAUGAGGAGGUGAGUAUUUAAGGAGUAGAGUUGAAAUUCAUUGAUACCUUAAGGACUGGUAAUGGCGAAAGCAACCUCUUAUCUAAUAACUGACGUUGAGGGACGAAGGCUUGGGGAACAAACAGGAUUAGAUACCCUAGUAGUCCAAGCAGAGAAUUAUGAAUGCCAUAGAUUAGAAAUAUAUUUAGUCUAUAAAUGAAAGUGUAAGCAUUCCACCUCAAGAGUAAUGUGGCAACGCAGGAACUGAAAUCAUUAGACCGUUUCUGAAACCAGUAGUGAAGUAUGUUAUUUAAUUCGUAGUUACGCGAAAAACCUUACCACAAUUUGUAUAGUAUCUUAAUAAGAUAUUACAAGCGUUGCACGGCUGUCUUCAGUUAAUGUCGUGAGAUAUUGGUUAAUUCCAUUAAAUUAACGGAAACCCUUGCUUUAUUUGCAAAUUUUAUAAAUAAAGCAGUUCACCUCUAUAUUGGAUAUGAUAAC